Oreochromis aureus is the source of this 2118-nucleotide long non-coding RNA. Lineage: Eukaryota; Metazoa; Chordata; Actinopteri; Cichliformes; Cichlidae. The record is from Ensembl.
UUUUGUUAAGAAAUACAUCACUUAAAUUUGCUUUUAUUUGGGGGUAAAGUAAUACUUACAAUGUUCUCAUAACAAAUUAAAGUCACAUUAAAAAAAAGAAAUGUAAACACAUGGCAAUAGAAAUACUUGUGCCCUAUCAAAUCUUUGUUCUAGCAGAAUCACCCAUUACAACAACAUGUUUUAAUUAUGUUUUGUUGAAGCUACAUAAAUAUAUUUUAAAAUAGUCAGGCUCAAGGUUUGCACCUCUGGCCGUUACUAUGACAUAACCGUUUCUGGAAAAAUAUUAUUGUUUGUCCUCCAAAACUAGUAUUAUUAUCUAUAAAAUAGAGUGUAAAUUUCUGGGCUCUUAAAAGCAGCAUCUCUACACUACUAGUCAAAAUUCUGGACAGACCUUCCCAUUCAGUGUUUUUGAUGCUUUUCAUGCAGUGCCAAUCAUCUCAGAUGACUACCUCAUGAAGCUCACUGACAGAAGGCUAGAGUGUGCAAAGCAGUGAUCAAAGCAAAGGGUGGCUAAUUUGAAGAAUCUAAGAUCUAAAAGGUCUUUUGGGUUAUUUCAUACUUUUUUGUUUACUACAUCAUUUGUGUUAGGGUUAGUGCUCCAUGUGUGUCCAUUCAUAGUUUUGAUGCCUUCAGUUCGAAACUACAAAGUAGUCAUGAAAAUGAAGAAAAAAAACAUUCAAAUGAAGGUGUGUACAAACUUUUCACUGUUAGUACAUCAGAUGUACAGUGUCAAUGAUGAGCAUUCUGGUUUACACAACAACAAAGAAAUAUGCCCAGUUUUGAGGGACUCACUUAUUCAUUUGUGUAAUGUUACACAUGUGACUUACAGCAUUUUACAGGUUUUCUAUAAUGUUUUGCUCCAUGAAGGUUUUUUUUUUUUUUAAAAAGCAUUAACAUAGUAUUUGAAUUUAAAGAUUCUUUUAGGAAAUAUACCUAAAACAUCUGGUAAAAACUGUAAAAUGUGCUAUGCCAUGACCUAUAGAGCACUGAAACAAAGACUGUCAAAAAAGUGCUUUUUAAGCAAAUAAAAAAUUAUUAUAUUUAUUUACAUUUCUCUGCAACAGCUUCAGUAUAUCUUUGAGGUGGUGAUGCUGGAGGUGGUGCAGGGGUAGCUCGUGGGGCUGUGGCUGGUGCUGCUGUCACUAGCGGAACUGUUUCUUCUACGGUUUGUGCUGUAGAUGGAGCUGAGGCUUGUGCGUUGUAGCUUGUGGAUCUGAGUCUACUGGUGAUGUAGCUUUUGGAGCUGUGGUCUGCAAGACUGGGUCUGCCGCUGUGGUCUGCGAGGCUGGGUCUGCCGCUGUGGUCUGCGAGGCUGGGUCUGCCGCUGUGGUCUGCGAGGCUGGGUCUGCCGCUGUGGUCUGCGAGGCUGGGUCUGCCGCUGUGGUCUGCGAGGCUGGGUCUGCCGCUGUUUGGGAUUUAGUUUGUAGAGCUGUAGCGCGUCCUUGUGCUGUAGCAAUUGUGGCUGGUUCUGGUGGUGCGUUUUCUUAGUGUGUCUCUUGACCCUGGAUCUGAUACUGUUGUUGGUAUGCCUUGUGGAACUGGAGAUAGUUGUGGGGUUUUCACUGGUGGUGAUGCAAGUGAUGCCACUGGUGCUGUAUCCUGUGGAGCUCUAGGAGGUGGUGGUGCUCCUGCCAAUGGUGCUGCUGUAGUCUUUGGAGCUAGAGCAGAUGCUGGUGCUGCUGCAGCUUGUGGUGCUGCUGGACCUGGUUGUGCUUUUAGUAAUGUGGCUGCUGUUUCCUUUAAACCCCGAUGUGGCACUCUUGGCAUACUGUCUUUGCUAACUUUAGUUGGUCUACAUGUACUUUUGGAAUGAUUGUCCCAUUGGAAUCCUGAAGAUCCACACUUUUACCUUGGAUUGCUGUAAUGAUGUAAGGGCCUAAAACGUUUGCUUCAAUUUUCCCCCCUUUCCUCUGCUGGCUUCUUAUGUUAGCAGUUAAAACUUUGUCACCAACUUUGAAAACAACAUCUCUCUUCAUCAUUUUUAUUUUGCCCUUUGGUUUUUCCUGUGCUUUGACCACAUUGUCCUUCAGCAGUUCCAACAGCUUUUGAUGCUUUCGAAUGUCUUGCGACAGCUCUUCCAGCCCCACUUCCACACUCUCGUCAACCUUUGAAGCAAAA